CUAUCCGCACUGACCUCAAAGCAGUACAAAGCUCAGAGCAGUGAUUCUCAAGGUCAUAUCGGGUAUCCUGCAUAUCAGAUACUAACAUCACGAUUCAUCACCAUAGCAAAGUGAGUUACGGUUGGGGGUCACCACAACAUGAGGAGCUGCAUGAAAGGGUCCCAUCAUUAGCAAGGUUGAGAACCACUGGCCGAGAGCUCAGUUGUUUGUUUGUGGGUUCGUUUCUCCCUAGCACCACUCUAACCGCCUUGGUCAGCCUGGGAGAACCUUCUGUCUGCACAGCCUCGCUGUUAUCUCUCAGAGCCCUGUCAGAUCUCAUCAGCUCCUGGAUGUUGCACCAUCUAGCCUGUCUUCUAUCAGCACGCAUUUAAUAGCUUCCAGUUUUUUUUAUACUGAAAACAUUGCAAUGAACAUGCAUCUUGCUCACACGUGCAAAUAUUUUGCCAGGAUAUGUGUUAGAAUUUGGCUGGUUACAAUUUAGGUGAAUUUAUUAAAGUAUUGCUUUGUCUUAUGGGAAAUCUGGAUCAACCAAUUCUCCCAGCAUCAGUGGGCCAGGGUAGCCCAUGUUCCUUGUCAGCACAGAAGCAGCGGGUGUGUCCGACCUUUAACAAUCGACUAGGCAGAAAUAGAUACUAAAGCACUUUCUAUCCAGCUGCUGUGCGCUUGUUUUUCCUCCUGAACACCCUACUGAUAAUAGCUUUUACUUAGGUUUAGUUUUAUAUUGUUCAUAUUUUUCAAUUAUAAAUCUAUAAAACCUAAGUGUUAUUACUAUUGAAAUCAGCCCUUUGAUAAAGGUAUGUAUCAUUUGACUUUGUAUGACUUUCUGGUAUGCUUUGCCAUACAGAUAUUUUCCUUUGUAGGAAUUCAAUUUCAUAGGAUCUUCCUCCCUCUAAAAAAUGACAAACGGCAUCUCGGCUUGUCUCGUCUAGUCUGCAGCCCCGGCUCUCUCUGAUCGUGACACCGGCUCAUCCUCCCACGAGAAAAACCGCUGCCCUCAGGAGGACAGAUUCCAAACCUCUGAAUCUGCAACAAAAGCUUUCAAAGAACAGCCUGAGGAGCCUGAGUUUGACCUCAUGAGCAGGCAUUCCCAGCCUUUCGACAUAGGGACGUGACAUCACGGUCUAUAGAGUUCAUACACACACAGAGCACCAUGCAAUAGAGAUCCAAGACAUAUCCUGGGUUUUAAGUUUGCAGUUUCGUGUUGGGUGGCGUUCAAGGCAUUGUUGAAGAACAUGCAGUUUCUCCAGGGUUCCAUAUUCAGCUUACAUCAUCCGAUUCCUGUUUUCCUGUAUUGGAUCACCUAUCUCAGGAGUUAAUCAGCUCCUGUUCAAAGUCAGCAGGGAGCGUCUGACAAAUCCAUUCCCACCUUAGCAAUUGAUUAGCCCUGGGCUUUAUAAGCAUAGGUCAUGCGAGGCUCUGGCCCUAUUAAAAUUUCUUCCAUUUAUUUCAAGGGGAGAGACAAUCUCUCCUCCAUUCACGUGACUUCUUGAUGUGACAGGUGAUAGUUCUACCCAGUUUAUCAUGUCAGUAAAAUGUCAUUUCUUG
This 1545-nucleotide long non-coding RNA is filed under the name Mus spretus (western wild mouse). RNAcentral describes it as "RIKEN cDNA 5330411O13 gene (ENSMSPG00010024825.1)". The record is from RNAcentral. Lineage: Eukaryota; Metazoa; Chordata; Mammalia; Rodentia; Muridae.